RNAcentral lists this ribosomal RNA (368 nucleotides) under uncultured organism. Its description in RNAcentral is "bacterial SSU rRNA". It matches the Rfam family "Bacterial small subunit ribosomal RNA", at positions 527 to 896 of the family's 1533-position model. The record is from RNAcentral.
CGAAGGGGCUGGCGUUGUUCGGAAUUACUGGGCGUAAAGCGCGCGCAGGUGGUCUUUCAAGUCAGUGGUGAAAGCCCGGAGCUCAACUCCGGAAAUGCCAUUGAAACUGUAAGACUUGAGGAUGAGAGAGGUGAGUGGAAUUCCCAGUGUAGAGGUGAAAUUCGUAGAUAUUGGGAAGAACACCGGUGGCGAAGGCGGCUCACUGGCUCAUAUCUGACGCUCAGGCGCGACAGCGUGGGGAUCAAACAGGAUUAGAUACCCUGGUAGUCCACGCCGUAAACGAUGAAUGCUAGCCGUUGGGCAGCUUGCUGUUCAGUGGCGCAGCUAACGCAUUAAGCAUUCCGCCUGGGAGUACGGCCGCAAGGUCG